UGUGGUCAAGUUAAUAAGGGCGCACGGUGGAUGCCUUGGCACUAGGAGCCGAUGAAGGACGUAGGAGGCUGCGAUAAGCCUCGGGGAGCUGUCAACCGAGCUGUGAUCCGAGGAUUUCCGAAUGGGGAAACCCGGCAGGAGUCAUGUCCUGUCACCCAUACCUGAACACAUAGGGUAUGUGGAGGGAACGUGGGGAAGUGAAACAUCUCAGUACCCACAGGAAGAGAAAGCAACCGCGAUUCCGAGAGUAGUGGCGAGCGAAAUCGGAAGAGGCCAAACCAGGUACGCGUGAUAGCCGGCAGGCGUUGCGUAUCUGGGGUUGUGGGGCCGUUCUGAUGGUUCUGCCGAAUCAUCGAGGAGUAAGAAAAUCAUGUGUUAGUCGAAGGACUUGGGAAGGUCCGGCGUAGAGGGUGAUACCCCCGUAGACGAAAACAUGUGAUCUCCUGAGCGUUACCCCAAGUAGCAGCGAGCACGUGAAAUUCGCUGUGAAUCUGGCGGGACCACCCGCUAAGCCUAAAUACUACCUAGUGACCGAUAGCGGACAAGUACCGUGAGGGAAAGGUGAAAAGUACCCCGGGAGGGGAGUGAAAUAGUACCUGAAACCGCGCGCCUACAAGCCGUUGGAGCGUCGCCAUGUCGUUGGACAUGGUCGUGACAGCGUGCCUUUUGAAGAAUGAGCCUGCGAGUUAGCGUUAUGUGGCGAGGUUAACCCGUGUGGGGUAGCCGUAGCGAAAGCGAGUCUGAAUAGGGCGUUUGAGUCGCAUGAUCUAGACCCGAAGCGAAGUGAUCUACCCAUGGCCAGGUUGAAGCGCAGGUAAGACUGCGUGGAGGACCGAACCCACUUCAGUUGAAAAUGGAGGGGAUGAGCUGUGGGUAGGGGUGAAAGGCCAAUCAAACUUCGUGAUAGCUGGUUCUCCCCGAAAUGCAUAUAGGUGCAGCGUCGCGUGUUUCUUACCGGAGGUAGAGCUACUGGAUGGUCUAGGGGGCCUACAAGCUUACCGAAAUCAGCCAAACUCCGAAUGCCGGUAAGUGAGAGCGCGGCAGUGAGACUGUGGGCGAUAAGGUUCAUGGUCGAGAGGGAAACAACCCAGAACACCAGCUAAGGCCCCUAAGCGUGUGCUAAGUGGGAAAGGAUGUGGAGUCGCAUAGACAACCAGGAGGUUGGCUUAGAAGCAGCCACCCUUUAAAGAGUGCGUAAUAGCUCACUGGUCAAGUGAUUCUGCGCCGACAAUGUAGCGGGGCUCAAGCACACCGCCGAAGCUGUGUCAUUCAUGCAAUAGCCUGUCGGUUACCUACGGGUGGCCGGCCAGGUGUGUGGAUGGGUAGGGGAGCGUCGUGUGCCGGAGGAAGCGGCGGGGGAACCCAGCCGUGGACGGCACACGAGUGAGAAUGCAGGCAUGAGUAGCGAAAGAAGAGUGAGAAACUCUUCCGCCGAAUGACCAAGGGUUCCUGGGCCAGGCUAAUCCGCCCAGGGUAAGUCGGGACCUAAGGCGAGGCCGACAGGCGUAGUCGAUGGACAACGGGUUGAUAUUCCCGUACCCGCAAAAGAGCGCCAAUACCGAGUCCGGUAAUGCUAAGCGCCUGAUGCUGUGAUGACCUUCGGGUCGGAUCGGUUGAACGCGUGACCCGAACCGGUAGUAGGUAAGCGAUGGGAUGACGCAGGAAGGUAGUCGUACCGGUCAGUGGUAAUACCGGGGCAAGGACGUAGGGCGUGACAUAGGUAAAUCCGUGUCACAUGUGCCUGAGAUCUGACGCAUAGCCGAUUGGGGCGAAUUCGAUGAUCCUAUGCUGCCAAGAAAACUCUCUAGCGAGCUCUUCGCGGCCCGUACCCCAAACCGACACAGGUGGUCAGGUAGAGAAUACUAAGGCGAUCGAGUGAACCAUGGUUAAGGAACUCGGCAAAAUACCCCCGUAACUUCGGGAGAAGGGGGGCCAAAGCACGUGACGGCACACGCUGCCGAAAGCGUGAGUUGGCCGCAGAGACUAGCGAGAAGCGACUGUUUACUAAAAACACAGGUCCGUGCGAAGUCGCAAGACGAUGUAUACGGACUGACGCCUGCCCGGUGCUGGAAGGUUAAGAGGACGGGUCAGCCCCUUUUGGGGGCGAAGCUCAGAAUUUAAGCCCCAGUAAACGGCGGUGGUAACUAUAACCAUCCUAAGGUAGCGAAAUUCCUUGUCGGGUAAGUUCCGACCUGCACGAAUGGCGUAACGACUUCUCGACUGUCUCAACCAUGGACUCGGCGAAAUUGCACUACGAGUAAAGAUGCUCGUUACGCGCGGCAGGACGGAAAGACCCCGGGACCUUUACUAUAGUUUGAUAUUGGUGUUCGGUUCGGAUUGUGUAGGAUAGGUGGGAGACUGUGAAGCUCACACGCCAGUGUGGGUGGAGUCAACGUUGAAAUACCACUCUGUUCGAAUUGGAUGUCUAACCUCGGUCCGUAAUCCGGAUCAGGGACAGUGUCUGAUGGGUAGUUUGACUGGGGCGGUCGCCUCCCAAAAAGUAACGGAGGCGCCCAAAGGUUCCCUCAGCCUGGUUGGCAAUCAGGUGUUGAGUGCAAGUGCACAAGGGAGCUUGACUGUGAGACAGACAUGUCGAGCAGGAGCGAAAGCUGGGACUAGUGAUCCGGCACCGGCUAGUGGAAGCGGUGUCGCUCAACGGAUAAAAGGUACCCCGGGGAUAACAGGCUGAUCUUCCCCAAGAGUCCAUAUCGACGGGAUGGUUUGGCACCUCGAUGUCGGCUCGUCGCAUCCUGGGGCUGGAGUCGGUCCCAAGGGUUGGGCUGUUCGCCCAUUAAAGCGGCACGCGAGCUGGGUUUAGAACGUCGUGAGACAGUUCGGUCCCUAUCCGCCGCGCGCGCAGGAGAUUUGAGAAGGGCUGUCCUUAGUACGAGAGGACCGGGACGGACGAACCUCUGGUGUGCCAGUUGUUCCACCAGGAGCACUGCUGGUUAGCUACGUUCGGAAGGGAUAACCGCUGAAAGCAUCUAAGCGGGAAGCCUGCUUCAAGAUUAGAUCUCCCAUCCUUAAUGGAGUAAGGCCCCCGGCUAGACCACCGGGUUGAUAGGCCAGAAGUGGAAGCACGGCAACGUGUGCAGCUGACUGGUACUAAUAGGCCGAGGACUUCACC
This 3127-nucleotide ribosomal RNA is filed under the name Jatrophihabitans sp. GAS493. RNAcentral's name for it is "bacterial LSU rRNA". It matches the Rfam family "Bacterial large subunit ribosomal RNA". Lineage: Bacteria; Bacillati; Actinomycetota; Actinomycetes; Jatrophihabitantales; Jatrophihabitantaceae. The record is from RNAcentral.